This 484-nucleotide ribosomal RNA is filed under the name uncultured bacterium. RNAcentral's name for it is "bacterial SSU rRNA". It matches the Rfam family "Bacterial small subunit ribosomal RNA", at positions 15 to 507 of the family's 1533-position model. The record is from RNAcentral.
GAUCAUGGCUCAGGAUGAACGCUGGCGGCGUGCUUAACACAUGCAAGUCGAACGAUGAAAGCGGGAGCUUGCUCCUGCUGGAUUAGUGGCGAACGGGUGAGUAACACGUGAGUAACCUGCCCUUGACUCUGGGAUAAGCGUUGGAAACGACGUCUAAUACCGGAUACGACCUUCGGAGGCAUCUCCUGGGGGUGGAAAGAAUUUCGGUCAAGGAUGGACUCGCGGCCUAUCAGCUAGUUGGUGAGGUAAUGGGCUCACCAAGGCGACGACGGGUAGCCGGCCUGAGAGGGUGACCGGCCACACUGGGACUGAGACACGGCCCAGACUCCUACGGGAGGCAGCAGUGGGGAAUAUUGCACAAUGGGCGCAAGCCUGAUGCAGCAACGCCGCGUGAGGGACGACGGCCUUCGGGUUGUAAACCUCUUUUAGUAGGGAAGAAGCGAAAGUGACGGUACCUGCAGAAAAAGCACCGGCUAACUACGUG